CAUUGUUCUCUUAACUGGGCUUUUGGGCUGGCUUUACUGCAAUACUGACUAGCAAAAGCCCUAGAACUGCCAGCAAUUUUCCUUCAUCCUGCCAUGGCCAUGGUCUACCAGUCUACCACCCACGUUCAAUAAAAGCGGGAAAAAAUAAUAGUUGACAAGAGAGAGGGAGACAGAGAGAGAGGGAGUGAGAGAUGGCGCCUUUACUGCAGAGCUCGCAGCCAUGGGUGGAGAAAUACCGGCCGAAGCAAGUCAAGGAUGUGGCGUACCAGGACGAGGUCGUCCGGGUCCUCACUAACACCCUCGAGACCACAAAUUGUCCGCAUAUGCUUUUCUACGGCCCACCCGGCACGGGCAAAACCACCACCGCACUCGCCAUUGCUCAUCAGCUUUUUGGACCUGAACUCUACAAGUCUAGGGUGCUUGAGUUGAAUGCAAGUGAUGAUCGUGGGAUUAAUGUAGUUAGAACAAAGAUUAAAGAUUUUGCUGCUGUUGCUGUUGGUUCUAGUCAGCGCCAGGGGGGUUAUCCUUGUCCACCUUAUAAGAUAAUCAUCCUUGAUGAAGCUGAUUCAAUGACUGAAGAUGCGCAGAAUGCUUUGCGGCGGACAAUGGAAACCUACUCCAAAGUUACAAGAUUCUUUUUCAUUUGUAACUACAUCAGCAGAAUUAUUGAACCACUUGCUUCUAGAUGUGCAAAGUUUAGGUUCAAGCCACUUUCAGAGGAAAUUAUGAGUAGCCGUAUAUUGCACAUCUGUAAGGAAGAAGGCCUCAAUCUUGAUCCAGAGGCUCUUUCGACCUUAAGUUCUAUCUCACAAGGUGAUCUCCGUCGGGCUAUAACAUACUUGCAGGGAGCUGCACGCCUAUUUGGGUCAUCUAUAUCAUCAAAGGACCUAGUCAGUGUAUCUGGGGUGGUCCCACAUGAAGUUGUUCAAAAUCUUUUCACUGCAUGCAAGAAGGAUAAUUUUGACUUGGCAAACAAGGAAGUCAAUAAUGUAAUCGCAGAGGGAUAUCCAGUUUCUCAAAUGCUUUCUCAGUUGUUUGAUCAGAUUAUUGAAGCAGAUGAUAUAACAGAUGAACAGAAGGCGAGGAUUUGCAAGAAAAUGGGUGAAUCAGAUAAGUGUCUUGUUGAUGGAGCUGAUGAGUAUUUACAGUUGCUGGAUGUGGCAAGCAGUGCCAUGAGAGCUCUCUGUAAUAUGCCUCAGGAAUUCUCAUAGGGUGUGUUGGGCAGAUAGAUGCAAGAUUAAAAGACAACCAUCUGAAAACAAAAAAAUGAAGGAAAGGCAUUUGACAUUGAAAGAGGGACUUACCAUUUCUACAUCAUGCUCUUUGGAUUUAAAAAGGUGGGACCACCUAUCAAAGGUUAGUAAAUUUGAUCUUGAAAAAGUAGAUUGGAAGAUAUAAGGAGACUUACCUCGACAAAUAUGGUCGAAAAUUGUUAGGUUGGAGGACACAUAUAGGACCUAGAGGAAGCUUUUGUGGUGCUAAGGAAGUUCCUAUAUAUGUUCUAAAAGAGAGGGAUUAAAGUGAACUCAGAGAAGAAACUUGCAUUGUUGGAUAUUAGUAAUGGAGCAAUCUCGUAUAGAAUGUUCUUAGUCUGGUGUACUCGAAAGAAGAUGAUGUCUGUAUGGGUUUAGUUGGCAAUGUAUCAAGCCAAUCUUCUCAAUUACCUGCACAUAGGGAAUGCUUAUGUUUUGGUGAGAUUAAAAGCGUUGAGGGAAAAUUGGAUGAAUUCAACACAUUUAUUCAAUAGAAAAUUUCAUCAACUACUAAUCAAGCAUUUGUGUAAGCUGAUGUGUGUACAGUGAUGAAGAUCAUGCAAUCAUUAAUUUGUUUUCAACAUUAUUUAAGAUUUAUAACAUUGGCUUAUACCCUUGCU
Molecule: RNA transcript, 1873 nt
Organism: Malania oleifera
Lineage: Eukaryota; Viridiplantae; Streptophyta; Magnoliopsida; Santalales; Ximeniaceae
Gene name: replication factor C subunit 2
Exons: 13
Source: RefSeq, a predicted model, not a curated record